CCUACGGGGGGCAGCAGUGGGGGAUAUUGCACAAUGGGGGGAACCCUGAUGCAGCGACGCCGCGUGGGUGAAGAAGCGCCUCGGCGCGUAAAGCCCUGUCAGCAGGGAAGAAAAUGACGGUACCUGAAGAAGAAGCCCCGGCUAACUACGUGCCAGCAGCCGCGGUAAUACGUAGGGGGCAAGCGUUAUCCGGAUUUACUGGGUGGAAAGGGGGCGCAGACGGCGAUGCAAGCCAGGAGGGAAAGCCCGGGGCCCAACCCCGGGACUGCUCUUGGAACUGCGUGGCUGGAGUGCAGGAGGGGCAGGCGGAAGGCCUGGUGUAGCGGUGAAAUGCGUAGAUAUCAGGAGGAACACCGGCGGCGAAGGCGGCCUGCUGGACCGCGACUGACGUUGAGGCUCGAAAGCGUGGGGAGCGAACAGGAUUAGAUACCCGAGUAGUC
This 440-nucleotide ribosomal RNA is filed under the name uncultured bacterium. RNAcentral describes it as "partial 16S ribosomal RNA". It matches the Rfam family "Bacterial small subunit ribosomal RNA", at positions 338 to 795 of the family's 1533-position model. The record is from RNAcentral.